This is a long non-coding RNA of Betta splendens (Siamese fighting fish), 2391 nucleotides long. RefSeq lists it as uncharacterized. The record is from RefSeq and is a predicted model, not a curated record. The transcript is spliced from 2 exons. NCBI's taxonomy places the organism in Eukaryota, Metazoa, Chordata, Actinopteri, Anabantiformes, Osphronemidae.
CAGAUGGAAGAGAAAACCACAAGCUGCGUGCUUCGUCCAAUCACAUUUUAGUUUUAAGCCGUUUUUCUGAAUCGCCUACGUGUUGCUUUUUGAAAAUAGCUUCUGUAAAGUUCAAAGGGCAGUUUGUUUAUAAGAGUAAAAUUAUUGUCUUCAUCGUAGGAGCAGAGCAUGCGCGGUAAAUACUCAGAGUAGCAAAAAUUAAACGGCAGAAAUCUGCUGGGACAUAGAAGCAUUCAGAAUCGACUAACACGUCGGCACCAGAACAACGUUGACUGAAGACUUUCCAAGCAGUAUUUCUCGCUGCCGUUCAAACUCCAGCGCGUCUCCAUGCAGGUUACAGAAGGCGAUGCAGGCAGUGAAGGCAUCGUUGGCUUUGCCAGCAGGACAGUACCAGGCGAUCUCUGCCACGCCGUCCAUCAGCAGCCGGCUCUUGGUGCUGCCUGCACAGUUUCUGUGGAAGAAGGUGCUGUGACGCUCGUUGAUCAGGUCGUUCAUCAGCUGAGACUUGGACACUGACAGAGAACCCAGACGCAGGAACGACACCAUGGGGGUCUGAGCUUUGUAGACGGGGACACUCGUCAUGGUUGGAGGGGUCCUCCAUGUUUUAAUGAUUUGUCUGAAGGUCCAGAGAGGAAAGUGAACCUCACCAGUUAGUGGGUGAGGAACCAGCAGAGGUAACGCGUACUGACACUGGGAGAGUUUAGUGACCAUGUUCUGCUGCAGGAAGCUGUCAGAGCAGUGGAACACGGCCAUCUGAACGUCCAUCGGAUGAACCGGAGUCUGGGCUGCUUGAUUCGUGUUGAUACUUGUGCUGUAGAAAUCAUCAUCAUCAUCGUCAUCACUUGCAUCUGUAUCUACUGUGACAGUCUCUAGACUUCUCACCUCAGGACAUUGUGGUUUUACAGGAAUGUAUCUGGCUCUGUAGUCUAACAUCAUCAGCCGCUGAAGAAACGUACAAGCUAGAUCUUUCUCAAAUGUCUCAUGAUCCGGUUUCACACACGAACCGAUCAUAAGUAAAUCACCAGAAGACAUCUUCUGAAGUUUGUCUUGAAGGUGAAGCCUGCUGAAUACUGUUUCAUGUCCUUCUGAAAUGUUUACUGGCUGUUAAUAGAGAAACACAGGUAUUAUUCUACAAUCAAAUUUUAAUAAUAAUUUAAAUAAGGCAAUUAAAUACUUUAUCAUUCUUUUCCAAGUAAGGAGCAUUGGUUUCAUUUACUUACAGAUUAAGAAAACACAUGAAUACUUUUAUUUUGUUAGGUAGCACAUACUGUCUACAGUUUAUAAAAUAAUGCUGUUAUAAUGCAGUUACAGCAAUCACAAGUAGAGUUGAAAAUAGAAUUUUUGACAUGUGACAUGAAUCUAAGGCUAUCCUGAUUAAUCAUAAGAUCUCACCUUUCCCUCCAUUUUGUCUUCACAUUUCUCCAGCUCAUCUGCAAUAGGACAAUGCAACAAACAGAGCAGUUACAAACAUAAUGUUCUUUUGUGUUUUGCAUUUUCCCCAUUUAAACAUGAUGUGUUUUGUUUAUUAUAUAAUUAAUAUUUUGUCGGGCCAUUGUAGCAGUUUAUGACAAAAAUGUGAAUAAUUACUUUAUAAUAAUUGAAUAAUGCAUUAAUUAAAUUGCAGUAAUGCUCAAUUCUUUCUCUUACAUAAAGUAAAGGAAUCAUAUUUAACUUGAAAUAUGUUUGUUAAUAACUUGAAUAUGUUUGUUAAAUUAUAAAUUUGUAAUGUCACAGCUUGUCCAUCUACAAUAUGUUUUAUUUUGAAAUCCGGUUUGGCCGCUCCCUCACACUUAUUUUACUGCAAUCAUUCCUUGUUCUCUCUCGCUCAGUAUGUCUUCACUCUUCAACCUCAGUACGUUGCUAGUUCUCCAUCUUGUGAUGCUGCGCAGGUCUCUCUCUUAUUGGAACCAGCUGCGUUUUGCAAGCUGACGACUUUGACUCAUGUUUGAAGAAGGUUUUUGGGUCUUUUUGUUCCCAAAGAAUGACCUUUUUCCAACAACUCUCAAGUGAAAACCUGUUCAACUCACAGAAUGUAGUUAAAGACUAUUGUCAGGGACAGAGUCUCUCAUGCAAAUAGUUUGUUGCUUGAUAUUGUCCACAUGAACGUUUUUGGCUCUAGGUGAAAAUCCUUGUCAUACAUUAUGCCACAGAUCAGGCUUUUUGAAAUUACUGCCUCCAGAUUCUAGAUUUGAGAAAACACAUGGAAAAUAUUCACCAUUGUGUGAGAUGUUCUGGCUUUGUUGCACAAAGCCAAGGGCUUAAAUUCAACCAAGAUAAGUUAAAAAUCUAUGGCUUGCUUACAGAAAUGCAGGACCAGUUAAAACCAGUUUAGUUUCCAUGAAGAUUUAAUGUGUUGUCUGUUGAUUUGUGAUUAAAUUUAUCCUGAACAUG